Molecule: long non-coding RNA, 521 nt
Organism: Acanthochromis polyacanthus (spiny chromis)
Lineage: Eukaryota; Metazoa; Chordata; Actinopteri; Pomacentridae
Exons: 3
Source: RefSeq, a predicted model, not a curated record
AGCCCCGGAAGGGACAUGUCCGUAUGGCGAAGCGACAAUGAAGGACACUCACCCGGACGAGAAUUUUAUUGAGUUUUAUUUUGAAAUCGGCCUGAAAUACACAGACAUUCAAGCAGUGCGAUGCGCUAAGAGUCUGCCAUGCAGACCAGCGAUCCUGAUAAUGUUGUCGGCCUUGGAUGAUGAGGUCCAGUUACCAGGAGCACUAGUCUGCAGCUUACUGGUUCCGUCCUGCAGCUCCUCCACGCUGUCCUCCUCUCUACAGACCAAAUCAAGAAAAGGGAACCAGGAAGCUGCUGUGGAUCCUCUGCAGUAUCUGGAGAGGUCAGAGGAACGGUUCUUGGAACAGAUCGGAAGACACCAAGACGUGACCUCUGCCAUGCUCCAGAACAUCCAGAAGAUGAAUGAAAACCUUGGUUGCACUGAUGGGACGCAUGGUGUCGGUGCUGGAGCAACUGUCCCAGAAUUAAACUGCAUUGUUGACUAUUGGCUUUUCUAGAAAAUAAAUCUUUUUUAGUACUUCA